CAUGCCUCUAGAGGUCUUGCAGGUGUGGCUAUUGUAUCAUAUGUGCAUCAGUAGGUAACAGAGAUGAAAGAGGCUGAGGCUAUGUUUACGCUCAGUGUUCUGACCUGUGAACAUCUGAAUGAUUAGUAGCCUGGCAUU
Molecule: small nucleolar RNA, 138 nt
Organism: Apodemus sylvaticus (European woodmouse)
Lineage: Eukaryota; Metazoa; Chordata; Mammalia; Rodentia; Muridae
Product: small nucleolar RNA SNORA17
Exons: 1
Source: RefSeq, a predicted model, not a curated record